GACGAACGCUGGCGGCGUGCUUAACACAUGCAAGUCGAACGGAAAGGCCCCUUUUGGGGUACUCGCGUGGCGAACGGGUGAGUAACACGUGCGUAACCUACCCUUGACUUCGGGAUAACUUCAGUCAACUGGGGCUAAUACCGGAUAGGAAUCCUUGCUGCAUGGUGGGGGUUGGAAAGCUUCGGCGGUUUUGUAUGGACUCGCGGCUUAUCAGCUUGUUGGUGGGGUAGUGGCUUACCAAGGCUUUGACGGGUAGCCGGCCUGGAGGGGCGACCGACCAGGUGGGGAGAGAGGAGCGGCCGAAACACGGAGGGGGGAAGGAGGGGGGAAAUAUGAAAAAGGGGGGGGAGGAGUGAGGAAGAAACGCGGGGGGGGGAGGGCGGGCGUGGGGUUUGAAAACGGGUUAAGCAGGGGAAGAAGUGGGGGUGACGGUAAUGGGAAAAGAAGCACCGGAUAACUACGUG
RNAcentral lists this ribosomal RNA (464 nucleotides) under uncultured bacterium. RNAcentral describes it as "partial 16S ribosomal RNA". The stretch from base 20 to 327 matches the Rfam family "Bacterial small subunit ribosomal RNA", at positions 47 to 358 of the family's 1533-position model. The record is from RNAcentral.